This 292-nucleotide ribosomal RNA is filed under the name uncultured bacterium. Its description in RNAcentral is "partial 16S ribosomal RNA". It matches the Rfam family "Bacterial small subunit ribosomal RNA", at positions 505 to 796 of the family's 1533-position model. The record is from RNAcentral.
GUGUCAGCCGCCGCGGUAAUACGGAGGAGGCAAGCGUUAUCCGGAAUUAUUGGGCGUAAAGCGUCCGUAGGUGGUUUAGAAAGUCUGCUGUCAAAGGCUGGGGCUUAACUCCAGACAGGCAGUGGAAACUACUAGACUAGAGUGCGGUAGGGGCAGAGGGAAUUCCCAGUGUAGCGGUGAAAUGCGUAGAUAUUGGGAAGAACACCGGUGGCGAAAGCGCUCUGCUGGACCUGUACUGACACUGAGGGACGAAAGCUAGGGGAGCGAAAGGGAUUAGAUACCCCAGUAGUCC